UAGCUCAGUCGGUAAAGAAUCUGCCUGCAAAGCAGGAGACCCAGGUUUGAUCCCUGG
Non-coding RNA from Bos taurus (domestic cattle), 57 nucleotides. Lineage: Eukaryota; Metazoa; Chordata; Mammalia; Artiodactyla; Bovidae. The record is from Rfam.